This 81-nucleotide ribosomal RNA is filed under the name Arion subfuscus. RNAcentral's name for it is "partial 5.8S ribosomal RNA". The record is from RNAcentral. Lineage: Eukaryota; Metazoa; Mollusca; Gastropoda; Stylommatophora; Arionidae.
CAUUUAAAUCGACAUCUUGAACGCAUAGUGUCGCGGCCUCGGGUCCCAUCCCGGGGCCACGCCCGUUCUUGAGGGUCGGCU